Molecule: ribosomal RNA, 477 nt
Filed under: uncultured bacterium
Lineage: Bacteria
Description: bacterial SSU rRNA
Rfam family: Bacterial small subunit ribosomal RNA
Source: RNAcentral
UUCGCAAUGCCCGAAAGGGUGACGAAGCGACGCCGCGUGCGGGAAGAAGGCCUUCGGGUUGUAAACCGCUGUCGGGAGUUAAGAAAUGCAAGGGUGUUAACAGCAUCCUUGCUUGACUAAGGCUCCGGAGGAAGCCACGGCUAACUCUGUGCCAGCAGCCGCGGUAAUACAGAGGCGGCAAGCGUUGUUCGGAAUUAUUGGGCGUAAAGAGCACGUAGGCGGCCGUGUAAGUCGGUUGUGAAAGCCUUCCGCUCAACGGGAGAAUGGCAUCCGAUACUGCAUGGCUUGAGUGCGGGAGGGGAGAGUGGAACUUCUGGUGGAGCGGUGAAAUGCGUAGAUAUCAGAAGGAACACCGGCGGCGAAGGCGACUCUCUGGCCCGUAACUGACGCUGAGUGUGCGAAAGCUAGGGGAGCAAACGGGAUUAGAUACCCCGGUAGUCCUAGCCGUAAACGAUGGGCACUAAGUAGAGGGGUUUU